GAUGAGAACGUAGCGAAAUGCGAUAAGUAAUGUGAAUUGCAGAAUUCAGUGAAUCAUCGAAUCUUUGAACGCACCUUGCACCCUUUGGCUAUUCCGAAGGGUAUGCCUGUUUGAGUAUCAUGAACACCUCAACUCUCAUGGUUUGCCAUGAUGAGCUUGGACUUUGGGGGUCUUGCUGGCCUGUGGUCAGCUCCUCUCAAAUGGAUUAGCUUGCCAGUGUUUGGUGGCAUCACAGGUGUGAUAACUAUCUACGCUUGUGGUUUUCCACCAGGUAACCUUCAGCAAUGGGGGUUCGCUGGGGCUCAUAAAUGUCUCUCCUCAGUGAGGACAGCUCUUUGAACGUUUGAUCUCAAAUCAGGUAGGACUACCCGCUGAACUUAAGCAUAUCAAUAAGCGGAGGA
RNAcentral lists this unclassified non-coding RNA (401 nucleotides) under soil metagenome. Its description in RNAcentral is "partial contains 5.8S ribosomal RNA, internal transcribed spacer 2, and large subunit ribosomal RNA". The stretch from base 5 to 120 matches the Rfam family "5.8S ribosomal RNA", at positions 40 to 154 of the family's 154-position model. The record is from RNAcentral.